RNAcentral lists this ribosomal RNA (495 nucleotides) under uncultured bacterium. RNAcentral's name for it is "partial 16S ribosomal RNA". It matches the Rfam family "Bacterial small subunit ribosomal RNA", at positions 28 to 507 of the family's 1533-position model. The record is from RNAcentral.
GACGAACGCUGGCGGCGUGCCUAAUACAUGCAAGUCGAACGCUGAAGGAGGAGCUUGCUUCUCUGGAUGAGUUGCGAACGGGUGAGUAACGCGUAGGUAACCUGCCCGUUAGCGGGGGAUAACUAUUGGAAACGAUAGCUAAUACCGCAUAAUAGUAGAUGUUGCAUGACAUUUGUUUAAAAGUUGCAAUUGCAUCACUACCAGAUGGACCUGCGUUGUAUUAGGUAGUUGGUGGGGUAACGGCUCACCAAGGCGACGAUACAGAGCCGACCUGAGAGGGGGAUCGGCCACCCUGAGACGGUGACCGGGCACAGAGGCACUGAGGAGGCAGCAGUAGGGAAUCGUGGGGCAUCGGCGGAAGACUGACCGAGCAACGCGGCGGGAGUAAAGAAGGUUGUCGGGUGGUAGAGGUCUGUUGUAAGGGAAGAAAGAGCGUGCGCGUGGAAAGUUCACACUGUGACGGUAACUUAUCAGAAAGGAACGGCUAACUACGUG